Molecule: long non-coding RNA, 497 nt
Filed under: Equus asinus (donkey)
Lineage: Eukaryota; Metazoa; Chordata; Mammalia; Perissodactyla; Equidae
Description: lncRNA (ENSEASG00005035462.1)
Source: RNAcentral
UCCUGUUAACAGCCUCAGCUGAGCAUCUAGCCAACUGCCAGCCAUGUGAACACGUCAUUUGGGAUUCUGGCCCACUUGAGCCCCAGAUGACUGCAGAUCCAAGGGACAUCAUGUGGGGCAGAAGAACCACCUAGCUGAGGCCUGUUAAACCACAGACUCACGAAAGGGUUGGCUGUGUGACUGACAGAACACAGAAGUGAUGCAUGCUGCACGAGGGAGCCACCUUGGGAGCAACACCUCCAGCCCCAGUCAAGCCUUGGGAUGACGGCAGCCCCAGCAGACAGCUUGAUGGAAACCUCAGGAAGACCCUGAUCCAGAACCACCCAGCUGAGCCCGGCCUUCCAGUCAUCUCCACAAGGCCCUAGACGUGUGAAGCAGGAAGCUAUCUGGACCCUCCGGACCAGCCCCGCCACCAGAUAAACACUGCUGAGUUAAUGCACAUGGAGCAGAAGAAUUGCCUGAGACUUGCACAGAUUCUUGACUUUGUGACAACUGUG